Leguminivora glycinivorella is the source of this 768-nucleotide long non-coding RNA. RefSeq lists it as uncharacterized. Lineage: Eukaryota; Metazoa; Arthropoda; Insecta; Lepidoptera; Tortricidae. The transcript has 2 exons. The record is from RefSeq and is a predicted model, not a curated record.
UACGUUACAUGAAACUAUUAUCACUCAAAUAAAUAAAAUCAUAAAUAAAUGUACCUCUUAAAACUAUAUAUUUUACAAGCUAAUACUUAUAACUAUUUACAAUAUACAUCUAUUUUAAACAAACAAAGUGCAACAGUGUUCGUCGGCGCCGUUUUAGCGCUCCCAGAAUAAUAUCGCGUGCAACAUUUUAGCGCCCCGGCAACUAGUCCUUUUGUUUGUCACAUCUGGUGACACCUAUAUCACAGCGGCGCUUAGCCGCGCGACCAUUUCCGAUCUUCAUUCGAUACAGAACGCACGGCACAUUAAUAUCGGUCUUUAUACAUGUAUCGUUUCGACAUGUAACCAAUUAAAUAUUUUGUCGUCUCUAAACGUUCGUCGAAGUGCUCAACGUUAAUAUUUUUAUAGUAACGCGAGUGUAAUAAACCCCAAAUUGGGGUCCAAGGUUCGGGCUGUCAUUUGGAGUGUCGACUCCACCACAGCCACCUCACCACCAUCGCUACUCUCGCCAGGCAGAGCAGACCUCCCUUGCCGAGCCCUCGGACAGCCCCUGAGUACCUACGGUCGGCUGCAUUUCCAGAGGGGCGUCCCCCCACCGACGGCACAAACCAGGCGAGAGUACCUAACCGCAGUGUAGACAGGAUUUUGUGUGAAUUUAUAAAAACUAGAACCUACGACCUAAAUUAGCUCAAAAUUUAAUCAUUAAAUUUCUCGUUUCCGAACUUCGUCUCCGUUUCCGACAUUUAAAUAAAUUAAUAUUUUUUGCACGAA